UAAUACCUGAUAAGCCCACGGGAUCUUCGGAUCUUGCGGGAAAAGAGGGGGACCUUCGGGCCUCUUGUCAUCGGAUGAGUCCGCGUACCAUUAGCUAGUUGGCGGGGUAAAGGCCCACCAAGGCGACGAUGGUUAGCUGGUCUGAGAGGAUGAUCAGCCACACUGGAACUGAGACACGGUCCAGACUCCUACGGGAGGCAGCAGUGGGGAAUUUUGCGCAAUGGGGGAAACCCUGACGCAGCAACGCCGCGUGAGUGAUGAAGGCCUUCGGGUCGUAAAGCUCUGUCUAGAGGAAAGAAGUGUAUGAUGGAUAAUACCCAUUGUACUUGACGGUACCUCUGAAGGAAGCACCGGCUAACUCCGUGCCAGCAGCCGCGGUAAUACGGAGGGUGCGAGCGUUGUUCGGAUUUAUUGGGCGUAAAGCGCGUGUAGGCGGUUUCUUAAGUCUGAUGUGAAAGCCCCGGGCUCAACCUGGGAAGUGCAUUGGAUACUGGGAGACUUGAAUACGGGAGAGGGUAGUGGAAUUCCUAGUGUAGGAGUGAAAUCCGUAGAUAUUAGGAGGAACACCGGUGGCGAAGGCGGCUACCUGGACCGAUAUUGACGCUGAGACGCGAAAGCGUGGGUAGCAAACAGGAUUAGAUACCCUGGUAGUCCACGCCGUAAACGAUGAGUACUAGGUGUUGCGGGUA
This 689-nucleotide ribosomal RNA is filed under the name uncultured Geobacter sp. Its description in RNAcentral is "bacterial SSU rRNA". It matches the Rfam family "Bacterial small subunit ribosomal RNA", at positions 164 to 831 of the family's 1533-position model. The record is from RNAcentral. Lineage: Bacteria; Pseudomonadati; Thermodesulfobacteriota; Desulfuromonadia; Geobacterales; Geobacteraceae.